RNAcentral lists this ribosomal RNA (325 nucleotides) under uncultured eukaryote. RNAcentral describes it as "partial 18S ribosomal RNA". It matches the Rfam family "Eukaryotic small subunit ribosomal RNA", at positions 1470 to 1796 of the family's 1831-position model. The record is from RNAcentral.
CCCUUAGAUGUUCUGGGCCGCACGCGCGCUACAAUGAUGAAUUCAACGAGUUUAUAACCUUGGUUGAAAAGCCUGGGUAAUCUUUUGAACUUUCGUCGUGAUGGGGCUAGACCCUUGCAAUUAUUGGUCUCCAACGAGGAAUUCCUAGUAAACGCAAGUCAUCAGCUUGCAUUGAUUACGUCCCUGCCCUUUGUACACACCGCCCGUCGCUGCUACCGAUUGAGUGGUCCGGUGAAUUAUUCGGACCGGUGGACUGUGGGGAAACCCGCGGCCUGCUGGGAAGUCUUGUGAACCUUAUCACUUAGAGGAAGCAGAAGUCGUAACA